UGGGGAAUAUUGCACAAUGGAGGGAACUCUGAUGCAGCGACGCCGCGUGAACGAAGAAGGCUUUCGAGUCGUAAAGUUCUUUUAUAUGGGAAGAUAAUGACGGUACCAUAAGAAAAAGCCCCGGCUAACUACGUGCCAGCAGCCGCGGUAAUACGUAGGGGGCUAGCGUUGUCCGGAAUCACUGGGCGUAAAGCGAGCGCAGGCGGUCAAUUAAGUCUGAUGUGAAAGCCCCCGGCUCAACCGGGGAGGGUCAUUGGAAACUGGUUGACUUGAGUGCAGAAGAGGAGAGUGGAAUUCCAUGUGUAGCGGUGAAAUGCGUAGAUAUAUGGAGGAACACCAGUGGCGAAGGCGACUUUCUGGUCUGUAACUGACGCUGAGGUACGAAAGCGUGGGUAGCAAACAGG
This 404-nucleotide ribosomal RNA is filed under the name Bacteroidota bacterium. Its description in RNAcentral is "Bacteroidetes bacterium partial 16S ribosomal RNA". It matches the Rfam family "Bacterial small subunit ribosomal RNA", at positions 355 to 776 of the family's 1533-position model. Lineage: Bacteria; Pseudomonadati; Bacteroidota. The record is from RNAcentral.